This 491-nucleotide long non-coding RNA is filed under the name Homo sapiens (human). RNAcentral describes it as "non-protein coding lnc-TRAPPC6B-1:3". The record is from RNAcentral. Lineage: Eukaryota; Metazoa; Chordata; Mammalia; Primates; Hominidae.
GUCACAGAAAUUAUAUUCACCUCGAUGCCCCCACACAUUAACAAGCCUGGAUCAGGUCCCCAUCCCGCCAUCCCCGAGGAGGCUGCACGUGGACAGGAAGCUGGGGUAAGGCGGCUUGUUGCGUCCCGGCAGGGUCUCGGGGCCAGCAACGGGCCGGGUGUCCGCCGGAGCGGGAAGGGGCUUUGUGCUGCAGUUCCGGGCCUGCAGGGCCGAGAGCGGGAAUCAGCAGUCCGGGUCUUCUCACAGGCCAAGAAAGCAUGCCGGCGCACCCAGGCCUCGCUCUCCUUCCUCAGGGACCUGAGACCAGCGCUCUACGGAGGGGACCUGGGGCCUCUCCACCUCGGCGACAACAGGGUUUUACCCGCCGCCCCGCGAACAGGCCUCGAGGUUCCAGUCUUCUUAAGGCUGGCCGCCCUCCCCGCCCCCAAUUCACCCCGACCUGAGGGCUGCCUCUCCGAGCUCCGAGUUCCGAGUUCCCGUUAGGCCCUUAC